UACGUAGGGUGCGAGCGUUAAUCGGAAUUACUGGGCGUAAAGCGUGCGCAGGCGGUUAUAUAAGACAGAGGUGAAAUCCCCGGGCUCAACCUGGGAACUGCGCUUGUAACUGGCAAGCUAGAGUGUGGCAGAGGGGGGUGGAAUUCCACGUGUAGCAGUGAAAUGCGUAGAGAUGUGGAGGAACACCGAUGGCGAAGGCAGCCCCCUGGGCUAACACUGACGCUCAUGCACGAAAGCGUGGGGAGCAAACAGG
This 253-nucleotide ribosomal RNA is filed under the name uncultured bacterium. RNAcentral's name for it is "partial 16S ribosomal RNA". It matches the Rfam family "Bacterial small subunit ribosomal RNA", at positions 524 to 776 of the family's 1533-position model. The record is from RNAcentral.